CUCCUGAAAGGGUAUAUUUAACAGUGCCAACUCCCUUGUCCAAGUCAGAAUGAAGCUUGAGAAGAAAAAGAAAAACAAAGAGGCGCUGUUUUUGCCUGGCCUUCUGGAGUUUCACGCUACCAGGAAAACAAGUAAAGCACUGCAAAGUAAAUGAGCAAGCGCAAUGUUCAUUUUCAUGGGUCACAGGAAAGAAGGGGAAAAUAAGACAAACAUACAAAGACAAAAAGCAUAUAAUGACCACAGGAAAGGCUGGAUGGUAAAAGCAAUGAGCAGAGGGAACUAGUGCCAGUUGAAGAUUUGUCCCACC
Molecule: long non-coding RNA, 307 nt
Organism: Catharus ustulatus (Swainson's thrush)
Lineage: Eukaryota; Metazoa; Chordata; Aves; Passeriformes; Turdidae
Exons: 3
Source: RefSeq, a predicted model, not a curated record